AGAGUUUGAUCCUGGCUCAGGAUGAACGCUGGCGGCGUGCCUAAUACAUGCAAGUCGAGCGAACGGACGAGAAGCUUGCUUCUCUGAUGUUAGCGGCGGACGGGUGAGUAACACGUGGAUAACCUACCUAUAAGACUGGGAUAACUUCGGGAAACCGGAGCUAAUACCGGAUAAUAUUUUGAACCGCAUGGUUCAAAAGUGAAAGACGGUCUUGCUGUCACUUAUAGAUGGAUCCGCGCUGCAUUAGCUAGUUGGUAAGGUAACGGCUUACCAAGGCAACGAUGCAUAGCCGACCUGAGAGGGUGAUCGGCCACACUGGAACUGAGACACGGUCCAGACUCCUACGGGAGGUAGCAGUAGGGAAUCUUCCGCAAUGGGCGAAAGCCUGACGGAGCAACGCCGCGUGAGUGAUGAAGGUCUUCGGAUCGUAAAACUCUGUUAUUAGGGAAGAACAUAUGUGUAAGUAACUGUGCACAUCUUGACGGUACCUAAUCAGAAAGCCACGGCUAACUACGUGCCAGCAGCCGCGGUAAUACGUAGGUGGCAAGCGUUAUCCGGAAUUAUUGGGCGUAAAGCGCGCGUAGGCGGUUUUUUAAGUCUGAUGUGAAAGCCCACGGCUCAACCGUGGAGGGUCAUUGGAAACUGGAAAACUUGAGUGCAGAAGAGGAAAGUGGAAUUCCAUGUGUAGCGGUGAAAUGCGCAGAGAUAUGGAGGAACACCAGUGGCGAAGGCGACUUUCUGGUCUGUAACUGACGCUGAUGUGCGAAAGCGUGGGGAUCAAACAGGAUUAGAUACCCUGGUAGUCCACGCCGUAAACGAUGAGUGCUAAGUGUUAGGGGGUUUCCGCCCCUUAGUGCUGCAGCUAACGCAUUAAGCACUCCGCCUGGGGAGUACGACCGCAAGGUUGAAACUCAAAGGAAUUGACGGGGACCCGCACAAGCGGUGGAGCAUGUGGUUUAAUUCGAAGCAACGCGAAGAACCUUACCAAAUCUUGACAUCCUUUGACAACUCUAGAGAUAGAGCCUUCCCCUUCGGGGGACAAAGUGACAGGUGGUGCAUGGUUGUCGUCAGCUCGUGUCGUGAGAUGUUGGGUUAAGUCCCGCAACGAGCGCAACCCUUAAGCUUAGUUGCCAUCAUUAAGUUGGGCACUCUAAGUUGACUGCCGGUGACAAACCGGAGGAAGGUGGGGAUGACGUCAAAUCAUCAUGCCCCUUAUGAUUUGGGCUACACACGUGCUACAAUGGACAAUACAAAGGGCAGCGAAACCGCGAGGUCAAGCAAAUCCCAUAAAGUUGUUCUCAGUUCGGAUUGUAGUCUGCAACUCGACUACAUGAAGCUGGAAUCGCUAGUAAUCGUAGAUCAGCAUGCUACGGUGAAUACGUUCCCGGGUCUUGUACACACCGCCCGUCACACCACGAGAGUUUGUAACACCCGAAGCCGGUGGAGUAACCUUUUAGGAGCUAGCCGUCGAAGGUGGGACAAAUGAUUGGGGUGAAGUCGUAACAAGGUAGCCGUAUCGGAAGGUGCGGCUGGAUCACCU
Molecule: ribosomal RNA, 1540 nt
Filed under: Staphylococcus aureus DAR1926
Lineage: Bacteria; Bacillati; Bacillota; Bacilli; Caryophanales; Staphylococcaceae
Description: 16S ribosomal RNA
Rfam family: Bacterial small subunit ribosomal RNA
Source: RNAcentral